This is a long non-coding RNA of Lolium rigidum, 2333 nucleotides long. RefSeq lists it as uncharacterized. The record is from RefSeq and is a predicted model, not a curated record. Lineage: Eukaryota; Viridiplantae; Streptophyta; Magnoliopsida; Poales; Poaceae. The transcript is spliced from 14 exons.
GUCGCAGCCAUCUUGUGCUUUGCCUCCACUCUUUCCACGAGCAUCAGCGCCUGCGCUCCGCAGCUCCGAAGUGCUCGCCGAAUGUUGAUGGAAAGUUGUGGUGUUUCAUUUUCCUCACUGUGCAAACGUGGCGGAAACCCUACCUGCCUCAAAUGGUGAUGGUAUAGCCCAAGGCAGCAGUGACAUCGGGGAUGGGGUGCAGGGACGAUGACUUGCUCUACUCGGAUGACGCCGGGGACAAAAACGAUUACGACUCGUAACACUCAAUUACUCGCCUCAUGCUGCUUGGUGUCCAUGAUGGCGUCAUCAUCAAUUCUAUUUUAGGUUCGUAGCUUGAUGGUGGAUAGUGAUUGCCCAAACUUAUUGUAGGUUCCAGCCAACUGGUGCUUUUCCACCACUCUUGCCACGAGCAGCAGAACGGGGCUCCGCAGCUCCGACCUGCUUGCCGGCAUUAAGUUUUCACGUCAUGCUGCUCGGUGUCCACGACGAUAUCAUCAUCAACUACGGCUAUGAGCCAAAUGCAAGGAAGAUAGAGACAGCGGGAGGAGCUGUGCUGCUCGCCAGCGGACUGUGACCACAACCCUGCUCUUGCCGCGCCGAAGCUGGACAGAUACCAGCGCCGCCGACACGCUAUGAGCCCCCUGCCCUCACCCAGCUGGAGGACGAUCCACAGCUACUGCUCUUUGUGUUCGCCGUGGUGAAGUCAAUGAUCUGAUGAGAGGCACAACUUGCCUUGGGUGGCGACCACAUCGACACUAUUACGGUGCUGACGCCAGCCCAGAACAAGAGCUAGAAGGCGACCACCCCUGCCCUGGCUAUGUGGAUGACACAUAACUGCUGCUGAUGCAUGUCUUUAUUAAGGUGGUUCUGCCAUCUCUAGGGAGGCUGAAAUUCGAUCUCGAGGAUGGUGGUGCCGGAUCAUGUGAGGGUGAGGGGGCUUGCUGAGAGUGUCUUGAGGAGGGGUCCAUCCAUGGCCGCCAGAUUGGUGUAUGGGUACUUUUCCGUGGCGCUGGCAGCACGGUAGGCGAUGGCCAUGAAGAGGGCUCGGUGUGCUAGCGUGAUGAAUGGUGUACUUCUACAGGGCAUGAAGAAGGUUUCCUCAAAGACGGCGGCCCCGGAUUAUGUGCAGCUGAUGUUAGUCUGUGACACCUAUGUUGCUGCUUGCACUCGAAGCGGUGAUUGUGUGGUAAUGGCUCCAUCAAGUCGGCAUCCUCAAGCAACUUUUCAUCAGAAAAUUGGAGGAUGUGCCACUCAGGGCAUUUGACUUUGGUCUUAUCCAUGCAUAUUGUGACCAGGUCGUCCAUCCAGAUCGCCGGCUUCGCUUCGUGAGCGAUGACGUUGAUGGCAUAGGAAGCGGCUGCCAAUUAAAGGAGUUCAGCACAGGACAUCUGUCCUUGCUCAUGUUGAGCGUCAAGAACAACACUCAGCUGUGAGAUGCUCUUUGAGUUCUUGAACUGUUUGAAGAGCUUCACACGGCUCCUUCGUAUGAACAGAUCCAAGGCAAUGUCCACCAACAUCUGUGUUAGCAUUUAUAAUUUAGCGUAAAGAUGAAGGAUGGACGAGCCGGCAAGCCUCGUUCUGCCAGUGGUAGCUGAAUGUGGCGCUGGAGCGGUACACAAACAUAGUGUUUACUGUGGCGCUCAUGUAGGGAAGAGGCGGAUGUAGAAAUGGCGGUGGCAUACAUUCAUCAGUCAGGAGCAGCAGCUGGAUAUGUGCCCUAAUCCAGCAACAACAACAGCAAGGGAUAAGUGGAGUUGAUGGUGGCCUAGAGGGAUUUUGAUCGAUGUAUGGCUGCGCGUUCUGGCUUCUGGACUUGAUCUUCAACUUGAUAGAUAUGUUACAUGUUGUUUGUCAUGGUAUCUUGUUAGCUAGAUUUGUGUUUAUUGACAGCUCCCCAAGACUAUUUUUGAUGGGUAGCUGGUGUAUUUUCUCCAAGAAUAUGUGUGUUGUCGUUUUGUUAGUCAAGAAUGGAUGAGCUGACAAGCCUCGCUCAAUCAGUGGUAGCUGAACGCGAGGGUGGAGCGGUACACAAACAAAGUGUUUACUGUUGUGCUCGUGUAAUGGAGAAGCUGAUGUAGAAAUGGCAGGAACAUACAUCCAUCGAUCAGAGGAGCAGCAGCUGGAUAUGUACCCUGAUGCAGCAGCUGGAUAUGUACCCUGAUGCAGCAGCAACAAGGGAGAGGUGGAGCUGAAUAGCUGAUGGUGUCUUGGAGGGGUUUUAUUGAUGUAUGGUUGUGGGUCAAGGCUGGGUGGCCUUGAUCUUGAACUUGAUGGAUAUGUUACGUGUUGUUGGUCAUGGUAUCUAUUUAUAUAGAUUUGUGUUUAUUGACAGC